UACGGGGGGAGCAAGCGUUGUUCGGAUUUACUGGGCGUAAAGGGCGCGUAGGCGGUCAGCACAAGUCAGUUGUGAAAUCUCCGGGCUUAACUCGGAAAGGUCAACUGAUACUGCGCGACUAGAGUGCGGAAGGGGCAACUGGAAUUCUCGGUGUAGCGGUGAAAUGCGUAGAUAUCGAGAGGAACACCUGCGGCGAAGGCGGGUUGCUGGGCCGACACUGACGCUGAUGCGCGAAAGCCAGGGGAGCGAACGGG
RNAcentral lists this ribosomal RNA (254 nucleotides) under uncultured bacterium. RNAcentral's name for it is "partial 16S ribosomal RNA". It matches the Rfam family "Bacterial small subunit ribosomal RNA", at positions 524 to 776 of the family's 1533-position model. The record is from RNAcentral.